GCAGUAGCCGCGGUAAUACAGAGGGUGCGAGCGUUAAUCGGAUUUACUGGGCGUAAAGCGUGCGUAGGCGGCUUCUUAAGUCGGAUGUGAAAUCCCUGAGCUUAACUUAGGAAUUGCAUUCGAUACUGGGAAGCUAGAGUAUGGGAGAGGAUGGUAGAAUUCCAGGUGUAGCGGUGAAAUGCGUAGAGAUCUGGAGGAAUACCGAUGGCGAAGGCAGCCAUCUGGCCUAAUACUGACGCUGAGGUACGAAAGCAUGGGGAGCAAACAGGAUUAGAGACCCCCGUAGUCCCUGUCUCUUAUAC
Molecule: ribosomal RNA, 302 nt
Filed under: uncultured bacterium
Lineage: Bacteria
Description: partial 16S ribosomal RNA
Rfam family: Bacterial small subunit ribosomal RNA
Source: RNAcentral